CAGGGAUUUCUUCUUCCAUUUCCUCAGGGCUCUCCAAAUCAACUGGUAAGAAUAACAAUAAAAAGAGUAACAACCACCACCAUAUGUGUUAUUACACACAAUUUAUAUCGUUCUGCUACAACUAGCACUUUAUCGAAGUCCCUUAAAGAGUGGGGUAGAGAGUAGUGUUCACAGAAUAACAUAAUUUUAGGGCUAAGAGGGACCUCAAGAGGUAUCUAGUCUUCCUGCCUGCAAUGCAAGAAUGUUAGCUAAAGAAUCCCUGACAAUGUUGCUGAAAGUCAGUUCUAUCUGAGUAUCUACGUUUGUGGAAUUCACUGCCCUUAUAUAUUAGGCAGGCGUCUUCUGUGUUUAGUUUAAGAUGCCGCUUUAAAAUAUUUUUAUUUACACAAGGUUACCUUGCCACAUGACCCUGCUUUCUGUUGUUCUGUUCUUUGCUUCUUUAUGCUUUUACCUUUAAUUUCAUAUUGAUUUUAUGCACACCACUUUGAGAAUAUAUUUUUUAUUGAUUUAGUGGUAUAGAAUGUAUGUAUGCAUAAAUAGAUCAACAAACAAACAAACAAACAACAAAAAAUAGAUAAGGCAGCCUAAAUGAAAUUGGCAUUGGCAUGUUUUUCUCCUAAUGUGCCACUUGGGUUUGUUACAUUUCAUAUACCUGAUGUUCCUGGCUGCUGCAUUUCCUUCUGAUAUUGUAUCUGCGCUCACACCUAUGCAAAAGUUACUUUCUUAUCCCAUGUAAGAACAUCAGUAUAAGGAAAUAUGGCAACUAGGCCUGAAAUAUUGUCAGCCACCAAGAGCUGAAAAACAAUAUCAACAGGGAAAGUGACAGAAGUGUGGGUUCUAUUAUCCUGUAUUACAAACAGAAAUUAUUCAGUCUUGGCAAUGUACAAAAAGAAACAGAUUCUACCUGGAUCAUUCUUGAGCAUGGUGGAUGGCAUCUUGUGAACUUUAUUAUAUAGAAUAGCACAGAGAGUCAAAACAAGAAGGAACAGUAGGAUCUGAUUAACUGAAAUGGAAAAGAAGCUGGUUAAAAAUAUUAUAUUCACAGUAACAAUCCUUAGCAUGUUUACUCAGAAUUUGAUGGGACUUUAGUGUAUUUCAGCCUGCAACUUGACAGUGCAAUCUUAUUUGCUCAGAAGUAUGGUCUUGAUGAGGUUUACUCCAUUGAGUAAACCUCGAUAGAUUUCCUACAUAUAAUAAAAACGUAAGAGUAUCAUCACACUACAGUUUGCUUGGCCAAAGACAGUUGGCACUGCAAACUACAAUAUGACAAGAGGCAGUGGAUGAGUAGCCCAGGACAGCCACAGAGCGAUAGCUAUAACAGGCCACAGCAGCACCCCAGCAGCCACCUUGCUCUGCUGGCUCCUGGCUCCUCCACCUGCUGGGCCUGGGGCCCCUGCCCCUGAGCAUCCGGACCCCCAGACUUGCCAGUGCUGCCACUGGCUACCUUCUUCCUCACCAGUCUGUUUCGACUGCCACCAAUUUGGAGCAUGGGAAGGCGGCUGGCCUGGUAAUCUGCUGCUAUUGAUUAGUGUGAAGAGUCAGCCAGGAUGGGGUGGCAGCAGCUGAUUCUCAGACCAGCAGAUGGCCAUUUCUGACCUCCUUCCCUUUCUUCUCCUGCUACUAGGCUGACUCAUCAUCCCACUUGGAAGCAGCAGCAUGAGGUGGAAAGAGGAAGGUCUUAGCUCCCUCAGUGUUCUAUCGCAGGUCCUGAUACUGAACACCAGAUGCUGCUCACUGUUGCCUUGCUGCCAACCUCUGCAACCAUCUACGGACAACGCUGCAGAUAUUCAAAAACUUUUCACCCCCCUACCACUAGCAGGGACUCCUCUACAGACUUCAGUUCCAAACCAGGGAUCUAAUUAUUUAAAUCAACUCCCCGCCCCCGAAGGUGUCUUACUUUUUCGUAAGAGAGCCAUACGGUCCUUUCUUUUGGUCUCAAUCUGUUGUCGAAAGAAGAAAUAGGAGACAAAGAUCAGAAGGUGAAAAUAAUUCACAUUUAGUCUGUACUAAACGUUACUGGCUGAAACCCCAAUAACAUUAGGUUUUGCCUUUGACUUGAAUGGAAAACAUUUUAAACCUACCCAGCAGAGGUAGAGGUGCAUUCCACAAGCAAAUGCAAUGCAUUUAACCCUCUGCCAUUAAAAAAAAUUAAGAAAAGAACAUAACUUGGUCUUAUUCUUCAAUACAGAGCCACAAAUGUGAAGUGGUCCUUUUUGAGAAGAUGUAGGAAAGACGUGAACGUCUUUCUGAGCCCUCACUCUGGUGCAAUACCUACCACAUCUGCUUUCUUCCAAUUCAUGCAGGGUUACUCUAUAUGGGUUGAAUCCAUUACCCUCACCUGCACAAUCUUCUUGUUUCUCUGUUAUAUCCCUUAAUAUAAACCAUGGGGCAGAAUGGUACAGUUUAUGGCCUGACUAUAUAUACCUGAGCUAUGAGAUUGAUACAUGCAUUUGUUUUGACUUGAUAUAUCUACACUUGAACCAAUUUCUAUAUUGUCUCGGUAUACAGCAAAACUUGAGCUUAUGUUAGUCUCAGCCUGAAUCUGAGAACGGUACCCUAAGGGGAGCUACAACUUUGAGUGGGGAUUCUGAGAACCAGAACCAGAAUUCUUUUGAUAGUUAUGCACAGUCAGGUAACCCCUAUAUCUGUCAUAUAUCUAGACAUGUAGAGGAUCUAACUACAGAUGCCAUAUAGCUUGAGGACUGCAAUGGCACACUGGAUUAACAUAUCUGAGGCCCAGGAGGUGGGAGAGAGAAACAGUCACUCCUACAAGGUGUUAUAAGAAUUUUAAGGUCUUAUAUAUAUAUAUAAUUUGUUGUUGUUGUUGUUGCUUAGUCAUUUAGUCGUGUCUGACUCUUCGUGACUCCAUGGACCAGAGCACGCCAGGCACUCCUGUCUUCCACUGCCUCCCACAGUUUGGUCAAACUCAUGUUGGUAGCUUCGAGGACAAUGUCCAACCAUCUCGUCCUCUGUUGUCCCCUUCUCCUUGUGCCCUCAAUCUUUCCCAACAUCAGGGUCUUUCCCAGGGAGUCUUCUCUUCUCAUGAGGUGGCCAAAGUAUUGGAGCCUCAGCUUCACGAUCUGUCCUUCCAGUGAGCACUCAGGGCUGAUUUCCUUAAGAAUGGAUAGGUUUGAUCUUCUUGCAGUCCAUGGGACUCUCAAGAGUCUCCUUCAGCACCAUAAUUCAAAAGCAUCAAUUCUUUGGCGAUCAGCCUUCUUUAUGGUCCAGCUCUCACUUCCAUACAUUACUACUGGGAAAACCAUAGCUUUAACUAUACAGACCUUUGUUGGCAAGGUGAUGUCUAACAGAUGUUCAUAAAUGUACCAAGCAAACACAUACAAAUAUGUAAACCACAUGUCUGAAACCUACAGAAAAGUCCUGAAACCAUUUUCUCUCUCCCAAAAUGACCUCAAAUACUUCUCUGCAAGGUCGAUGGAAAUGGGAAAUCUCCCCAUUGCCUCUUUCACAAAUCCUGUCUAAAGGGCACAUUUAAGAUAUGAAUAGGGUGUAGACCUGUGACCUGGAUUCAGGAACUGAGUAGUUAUCACAACAAAAGAGUGGCCAGGAUGCCCAGGUAAUCCAAUCAGGUAACCCGGCAGAUAGGAAGAAACAACACACCCAGAUUUCCGCCCCUUCUCUGAUGUAUUAAGGGGGUGGUAUUGGCCCACACCCCUUCUGUGAUGUAUGUAUGAUGUUUCUGGUGGUGGUCUUGGACUUCAGGGCGGGCAAUUUAAAAUGUCUAUAUAAGGGCUUGCGCGCAUGGCUUGGGGUCCCUCCCCCCCUCCUGUGUGUGUGUGGGGGGGGAGCACCCUGUUGCAACAGCUUUAAUAAAGAUCAGGCUUACCAGCUGCUUUGCUUCUCAA
This is a long non-coding RNA of Podarcis raffonei (Aeolian wall lizard), 3863 nucleotides long. RefSeq lists it as uncharacterized. The record is from RefSeq and is a predicted model, not a curated record. NCBI's taxonomy places the organism in Eukaryota, Metazoa, Chordata, Lepidosauria, Squamata, Lacertidae. The transcript has 2 exons.